This is a long non-coding RNA of Cyprinodon tularosa, 322 nucleotides long. RefSeq lists it as uncharacterized. The record is from RefSeq and is a predicted model, not a curated record. The transcript is spliced from 3 exons. Lineage: Eukaryota; Metazoa; Chordata; Actinopteri; Cyprinodontiformes; Cyprinodontidae.
AACAUUUUCACACAUCCAGUCUCCAGAAAGUGGUGUGAAGUCCCUGUGGGAGUCUGAAUUUUAAAACAACAGAGAUAUGCCUCAGCAGAGAUGCACCAAUGAAUUUAUCCUUGGUCGACUAUGAUUGGUGAACUGGUUGUGUCCUUCCUUUCAUGGAUAGUUGCGUGAAGAAAUCCAGAGGCAUAGCUAAAUGUUGAUAAACAUCGCCAGUCAUCAGAAGGAAAGGAUGACUAACCUACACGCCAGCUGACUUGGCUUGAGAUCAAGACAUGGGAGCUGGCUCGGAGCUCGUCUGCCUGGCUGUGUGUUUCCUGGACAGGGC